RNAcentral lists this transfer RNA (63 nucleotides) under Arion ater rufus. Its description in RNAcentral is "tRNA-Val". The record is from RNAcentral. Lineage: Eukaryota; Metazoa; Mollusca; Gastropoda; Stylommatophora; Arionidae.
UUAUCUAUAGUAUUCUAAGUACAUAUCACUUACAAUGAUAAAGCCUAAUUUUUAGUAGAUAGU